CCUUCAUGAUACACAUAAGAUUUCAUUCAGAUUCUUCCAAAUGGUAUUGCAUGGAUCCCAAACUUGGUGGAAACAAUCAUCAAUGUGGUAACGAGUGGCGGCCAAUCCAUCACUGUGGAUCAGAAGUUGAUAGAAGGGCCAAAUCCAAACAACAGGGGAAAGCUGUUUAUACCCCUUAUCCUUGCCUUUCAGUACCUAUUCGUUGUAAAGACCAUCCAACGUUCAAUCCAAGAGGAUGUCAGAAAAGAAAACAAAUCUCUUUGGGAGCUUCGUGAUAUUGGGGGUGGCUGACAGAAAAAUCUGAUCACUUUCUGGUGUUUCGGUGAAUGUUUUCCAGUUUUCUAGAGUUCAGUUCUUUUAAUGCUGGCAACUUUCAUGGCAUUCGGAUUCA
Long non-coding RNA from Dendrobium catenatum, 391 nucleotides. RefSeq lists it as uncharacterized. The transcript is spliced from 2 exons. The record is from RefSeq and is a predicted model, not a curated record. NCBI's taxonomy places the organism in Eukaryota, Viridiplantae, Streptophyta, Magnoliopsida, Asparagales, Orchidaceae.